Long non-coding RNA from Sinocyclocheilus grahami, 90 nucleotides. RefSeq lists it as uncharacterized. NCBI's taxonomy places the organism in Eukaryota, Metazoa, Chordata, Actinopteri, Cypriniformes, Cyprinidae. The transcript is spliced from 3 exons. The record is from RefSeq and is a predicted model, not a curated record.
GUAGAAUCGGUGGGCGGGGCUAAACGUGCAGCGCUGUAGAAUCGGUAGGCGGGGCUAAACGUGCAGUAUCGUGUAAUCGGUGGGCGGGGC